GGCCUGAUGGCGCAAUGGUAGCGCGUCCGACUCCAGUUCUGGAUUUCCAUCGGAAGGCUGCGUGUUCAAAUCACGUUCGGGUCA
This 84-nucleotide transfer RNA is filed under the name Melampsora larici-populina 98AG31. RNAcentral's name for it is "tRNA-Trp for anticodon CCA". It matches the Rfam family "tRNA". Rfam says of the family: Transfer RNA (tRNA) molecules are approximately 80 nucleotides in length. Their secondary structure includes four short double-helical elements and three loops (D, anti-codon, and T loops). Lineage: Eukaryota; Fungi; Basidiomycota; Pucciniomycetes; Pucciniales; Melampsoraceae. The record is from Rfam by way of RNAcentral.